Molecule: transfer RNA, 22 nt
Filed under: Impatiens cordata
Lineage: Eukaryota; Viridiplantae; Streptophyta; Magnoliopsida; Ericales; Balsaminaceae
Also listed under: 1 other name
Description: partial tRNA-Leu
Source: RNAcentral
GGUUCAAGUCCCUUUAUCCCCA